GCCUACUAAGAAAUGGGGGCAAGUUGGAAUGGCCGCAUGUAACCAUAACAACGGUUAUAGCUAACGUUUAGCCUACUGACUGUGGACAGUACGGUACGGGACCGGGACGGUAAGGCCGUGACGUACAAAUUGUUCUGUGCUGUGUCCUGAUUGGCUGAAGAGAAAUAGCAACGUCGUUGCGUUCUAAAACUGGACCUGGCGAUUUGACAUGUUCAACCUCUGGCGACUCCUUGCGACUCCUUUCAACGGCAUCACCCGCUUCAACGACAAGCAACGACAAUCAACCGCUUUGUACUCCAAGCUGUCCACUGUUGGACCCGUUGGGGGCCAGGCCAGCUAUUCAGAGGCCGGGACGAACAUCCUCCGGUACCGAGUCUAGCAGAGGCUGGCUAUACAAUGGCUCCCACUUUCUUACUUCCAUGUAUUCCCAGCAAACAGGCCGUGUUGUGGCGUACUACACGGUGAGAAGGGUUGAUGUUAUUCGUAAGUAUAACCUGCAACCACAGUUGUGCCUCCUGACUGUGUCCUCUCAGUCCAACAGCGCAUUAUACAUUUUAUUUUAGCAAUAAGCAUAGCAAUUUUAUGUAAUUCAUCAUUAACGAAACACAUAGAAGAUAUGUGGGUUAUUUUCACUGCGGGUGAUCGUUAAUGUUCCUUAUUUAUUAGAAGAAAUAAACACGCUUCUGACAGCUAACACACAAACCUGCACUAAUGGACAUUGAACCUGAACAUUUAACUGGGUCUUCUUUUAUGGACACAUAUCUGGGCAGCAUAUCUAAAUAGGACUUAUUAAGGUGGGUCAAGCCGAUUAGGCGGGCCGGCUAGGUGGUCGGCAUGAAGCUGGACCCUCUGGUGACAGCGGCAGAGAGGAGAACAUCGAACAAACUGCUGGCUAAUCUGGACAAUGUCAGCCAUCCUCUGCACACUGUUGUCAGCAACCAGAGACGCUUGUUCAGCAACAGGAUGCUCCUCGGCAAGAGCAACACCGACCGACUGAAAAGCUCGGCACCACACUCGGAGGAGCACAGAGGUCGGGGAGGAGCACCAGGCCUGACCCACAACAUAACAUAACACUGCAUAUCAACAACUGUCUGUUUGAUACACUGUUUUCUUACACUGUUUUUAUGCACUGUAUAAGCACUCCCUCGUGUAAAUAUUGAAUUGUACGGUAUUCUUCUAUAUCAUUUCCCUGCAUAUAAAUGUUUUGCAUUUGGCAUUUUGGACUUUUGCACAUUUAUACUUGUUUUUAACUCUUAUUCUAUUUGUUACAUGGUGUUUCCUGCUGCCCGAAGUGCAAUUUCAUGAGAGAACCUUACAGAGGGAUUAAUAUAGUUCCUAUCUAUCUAUCCAUCAAUCAAAAUGCACAGGCGGUCAAUUUAAGCCAUAACUUCA
Molecule: long non-coding RNA, 1392 nt
Organism: Gadus chalcogrammus (walleye pollock)
Lineage: Eukaryota; Metazoa; Chordata; Actinopteri; Gadiformes; Gadidae
Exons: 3
Source: RefSeq, a predicted model, not a curated record